Non-coding RNA from Misgurnus anguillicaudatus (oriental weatherfish), 1108 nucleotides. Lineage: Eukaryota; Metazoa; Chordata; Actinopteri; Cypriniformes; Cobitidae. The record is from RefSeq and is a predicted model, not a curated record.
AUGUGUAAUGGGGUGAGCUUAGAGGGGCGUGUCAUUUGACUUUGUGAUGGAGCCGGACGGAAGUUGAGCGCACGGACCCUUUAAAAGUGGGGAACAUUCCUUUCUUCGGGUUCUCUCUCUGUUUUGGGAAACUGGCUGCAGUGGAGGUGUGUAACGACUCCCUUACCUGUGUAAGCACAAGGUUUAUACCUUUUCCGGACCUCUCUUAGUCGCGCUGAACACCAAGGUAGUUCCCGCAUCAAACUUCUAUUUCAUCUGCGUGACAUUGUCCGCUAUUGUGCAUCAGAGGAACGCUGAUUUUCUGCGCUGUGCGUGGGCCUGUGGGUACUUCCAAAUCAUUCACAGUCGUGUGAUCCAGAUUUAUGAAUGGUGCGUUGACAUUGCUGGGGGGCCUGAUCAAGGUGCGCUACAGAGGGCUGCUGUUUCGCUGCUGUGGAAUUUACAGUCGUUGGACAUUCCUGUUGAUGCUCUCAAUCUUCUGACGUUUCAUCCUGUGUGUGCGUUCGUGCGUGUGUGUGUGUGCGUGUGUGUGUGUGUGUGUGUGUGUGUUUAGUAAUGAUGUGUGACUGCGUGGAGUAUUAGGUUUAGCUGUUAAAUUGUGUAUUGGUGUUUUGUUUGUUUACCCCCAUGUGUGUAUUUUGAGAGGUCACACGGGUAUUAGACCAUUUAUUAUUCUGUACAUCUGACUCAUAUAAGUGACCUGGGGAAUUUGUAUUGCCUAUUUCAUUUAUAAUCUUUUUUUUGUUUCUUUUUUGUGUGGAGGUUGGUUUGUUUAAUUGAAAUGGUUUGUUUCACUAACUGGAAGUGAUUGGUUUUUUUACUUUGUGUGUGGGAUUUUCUUUCUUUAUAUUGGUACCAAUUAGUAUUAUUAUUGUGUGAUUCAUUACCUCAGGGUAUCUAUGAGACAAAUGGUCUAAGAACUAAGUGUCCCCCCACAUAUGGUAUGAAUGCUGUGUAGUGUGUUUACGCCUUUUAUGUGAAUGUGGAUGUUUGUAUUUUUAUACCACUAAAUUAAAGAUUGAAUAAGCACACCCUUGUUGUCUUCCUCCAUUUGGUUGGGGGGCCUGUUGUAAGGGGAAUUGAAUAGUAAUACCCCUUUGUUACAUAU